RNAcentral lists this ribosomal RNA (425 nucleotides) under uncultured bacterium. Its description in RNAcentral is "partial 16S ribosomal RNA". It matches the Rfam family "Bacterial small subunit ribosomal RNA", at positions 354 to 796 of the family's 1533-position model. The record is from RNAcentral.
GUGGGGAAUCUUGCGCAAUGGGCGAAAGCCUGACGCAGCCAUGCCGCGUGAAUGAUGAAGGUCUUAGGAUUGUAAAAUUCUUUCACCGGGGACGAUAAUGACGGUACCCGGAGAAGAAGCCCCGGCUAACUUCGUGCCAGCAGCCGCGGUAAUACGAAGGGGGCUAGCGUUGCUCGGAAUUACUGGGCGUAAAGGGCGCGUAGGCGGACAGUUUAGUCAGAGGUGAAAGCCCAGGGCUCAACCUUGGAAUUGCCUUUGAUACUGGCUGUCUUGAGUACGGGAGAGGCGAGUGGAAUUCCGAGUGUAGAGGUGAAAUUCGUAGAUAUUCGGAAGAACACCAGUGGCGAAGGCGACUCGCUGGACAGGUAUUGACGCUGAGGUGCGAAAGCGUGGGGAGCAAACAGGAUUGGAUACCCGUGUAGUCC